Molecule: non-coding RNA, 2512 nt
Organism: Peromyscus maniculatus bairdii (prairie deer mouse)
Lineage: Eukaryota; Metazoa; Chordata; Mammalia; Rodentia; Cricetidae
Source: RefSeq, a predicted model, not a curated record
GGCCGCGGCUGGAGCCGGGCAGGGGCGCGGGAGAAGCAGGUACCGGCGCGGGCUGCGCAGCCCCAGGCGCGAGAGCUGCGCUCACUGCCUGCCGGAAGGACGGUCCCCGCGGGAGCCAGGGACCGCGGCGUCCGAGCGGGCCGGAUUGGCGCCUGGCCCGGUACGGUCCGAAGUCCGCGCUAUGGGAGAAGAGAAAUACUUGCCUGAGCUGAUGGCAGAGAAGGAUAGCCUGGAUCCAUCUUUUGUGCACGCGUCGCGCCUUCUGGCGGAAGAAAUUGAGAAAUUUCAAGGUUCAGAUGGAAAAAAGGAAGACGAAGAAAAGAAAUAUCUUGAUGUCAUCAGCAACAAAAACAUAAAGCUUUCUGAAAGAGUAUUGAUUCCUGUUAAGCAAUACCCAAAGUUCAAUUUUGUGGGGAAAUUGCUUGGACCGAGAGGAAACUCCUUGAAGAGGCUACAGGAAGAAGCAGGUGCUAAGAUGUCUAUCCUGGGCAAAGGAUCCAUGCGAGAUAAAGCAAAGGAAGAAGAGCUGAGGAAGAGUGGAGAGGCCAAGUAUGCACACCUGAGUGAUGAACUGCAUGUAUUAAUUGAAGUGUUUGCUCCACCUGGGGAAGCUUAUUCACGGAUGAGUCAUGCCUUGGAAGAGAUUAAAAAAUUCCUGGUACCUGACUACAAUGAUGAAAUUCGUCAAGAACAACUCCGAGAGUUGUCUUACUUAAAUGGCUCAGAAGAGUCUGGCCGUGGCCGAGGUCUUAGAGGCAGAGGAAUCAGAAUAACUCCCAUAGCUCCUUCAAGGGGCCGUGGGGGUGCUAUUCCUCCACCACCACCACCUGGACGAGGUGUUCUUACCCCUCGGGGGACCACUGUGACCCGUGGAGCUCUUCCAGUGCCCCCAAUAGCGAGAGGUGUCCCUACACCUCGUGCUCGUGGGGCCGCAGCAGUACCCGGGUACAGAGCACCCCCACCUCCAGCCCACGAGGCUUAUGAAGAAUACGGGUACGAUGAUGGCUAUGGGGGUGAAUACGAUGACCAGACCUAUGAGGCUUACGAUAAUAGCUAUGUGACCCCGACACAAAGAAUGCUGUCAAACUCAUUGCCUGUGCUGGGAUCACGAAGUGAAUUUCUCUGCUUUCCUCUGAGAGUUGUGCCUGAAUACUAUGACUACGGUCAUGGAGUAAAUGAGGAUGCCUACGACAGCUACGCACCAGAAGAAUGGGCCACAACUCGUUCCAGCCUGAAGGCACCACCACCAAGGUCAGCCAGAGGGGGAUACAGGGAACACCCCUAUGGUAGAUAUUGAAGGUCCUCUUCACCUGUGACCUCCUCAGAGACAGUUCAUAGCCUCUGGUCUCCACAUAAACAGCAACAAGACAAGUAUGCACAAAGAACACCAUAAAUGGUAGCAGCUGUGAUGGGCUAAGGAGGAUAAAGGACUUCAUUCCUUUGUAUGGCUGAAUAGUAUUCUGCUAUGCAUAUGGACUGCAUUUACUUUAUCUGUUCAUCGGCUGAUGGCCAUUCUGGUAUUUCCAUGUCUUGACUACUGUGAAUAGAGCUGCAAUGAACAUAGGAAUGAAGACUAAAGAUGAAGUUAAUUGGGCCCAGGGCUGAAAAAAAAUGUCAUCAAAAAUGAGAUGAGAUUGGAUGGAAUGAUCAGAUGUGGAGAAAAAGGAAAAAGCUCCCGUUCCUCUCUGUUUGUUUUCGGCUUGACACAGAAAGAAAAAGGUGGAAAACCUCUGCUGUUCACUGCUAUGGCUGCCCACUAAUAGAGAAGCCCCAGCUCUCCCAGGAGAAUACCUGUCAGUAAAACCUUGCUGUCCAGCCAGUGAGAUGGAAAAGUGAAACUGUGACUCAUCUAACCUUCAUCCAGCUGUGUCAUAAUUGCCAUGUACAGGACAUCAUACUGGAUGCUAAAUGUAAAUAAUCACAGCUAUCUGUAAAUCAGGUCCCCACCUCCAGGACUGCAGAAUCUGGAGGAAAAAUAAAGAUUAAAAUACACAGAGAACAAUACUGAUUUUCAUUAUUGAAAUAUUCAAAUGGCAACUGAGUUAUCAAAUUCAUCAAAGAAAUUAUAUGUUGAAUAUGACACAGAUUUAUUGAUACUGCCAGAAGUCCAGUGAGAAUGGAAAUAAAAUCCCUUGCAGCUUGAACUACUGGAUUAGGAGAUUUCUAAAUGCAAUUUGCUAAUGAAGACAACACACUGCUGAGGAAAAUUCAUAAUGUUUGUUGGCUGAUGCAACUAACUUGAAAUAAAGCAUUUUCGGAGUACAAAAUAAUGAAAAGGUGAUUAAGCUCAAGUUUGAAAAAGACAUAAUUAAGUACAAGUUGUGUUUAGGGGCCAUGGAGCUUUCAGUGUUUGGGGUAUAAUUAAUAAAAAUGUAUAAAGGAAUAAUAGAAACUCCAGCACUAUAAAAAGCAAUCAAAUUGUUGAGAUCUUUAAAUAAAAAGACUUUUUCAUUUUGUAGAAAUACUAUUUGAAUAUACAAAUGAACUUAAUAAAACAUGAUUUUGGAAAUGU